CUUCCCUCAUCUUUCUCUCAGCCGCCAUUUCACCUGCUUCUAUUAUUUUCCUUUCUCUCGCUUCAGCCCCAUUGUGAAUCACAAUACACAAAGUACUUUCUAGGAAUAUGAAAUUGCCGAUGAAGACGACACAAGUUCUUUGUGUUCACGUGGCGGUGUUAAUGGUGCUGCUGAUGUUUAAUGAAUAUACAAAGAUUGUUGAGAACACCACAAUGGUAUUCUCAACAACACAUCUUUACAAUCGGCAGGACAGCUUUUCAGAUGAAUAUUCCAGAACAUUAUAACAAAAACCAUUAAAGCAGAUGAACGGAUACCUAAAAUGGAUGCCAAGGAAAAUCUUUCUCGUGAAUUGUGUGCACUCGUUCUAUUCACCUUAUAUUUACAAGGCUUUCUUAUUUCUUUUGCAGAACAAGAAAAUAAUUACACGUGAUCGCUUUAGUUCCUCCUGAAGUGGGAGUAAACGCGGGAUGGGAAAAGUUGUCAGGCAUUCUUCAUGGGUACAAUUACAAACUUUACCUACUUGUUAUGGAUUAUGCAAUGCUUAUAAAUCUGCGGAAGACGAGUACACUGUCAAAAGAAGGCUAUCCAGUAGAUUUAGCGCUGAAAAACUUUAUGUAUUGGUCUUUCCUCUAUGCAUUUGCACACGCAAGCACAUAUACACACACAUUCUUUAUAUGUAUGUAUAUAAAUUAUGUAUAAUGAGUGGUUAGGUUACAUAGUCGCCAAAGAAAAUAUAAUAGAAAGAGAAAAGGCAGAAGGCUAUAUACAAGAAUAAACUGAAAAAAGUGAUAGUUGGAGAGUGAGAAAGUGAGGAGGAAACUAUAGAAUUUUAUGCAACAAUCUGACAGGAAAAACUAAUUUACAAGUGAGUUAUUUGGAACAUAUUUUUAGAAAUUUUUUCCCUGAUGGCCUGCAUAAAAAAAUAUCAAUUGAAGUAAUUUCGAAGUUUUAUGAGAAAAUGGAGAGGCAAAAAAUAGAAUGGUUAAAAGCACAACAGAAGGAAUAAAUGAGAUGGAUGAGUUUGCCAUA
Molecule: long non-coding RNA, 1029 nt
Organism: Octopus bimaculoides (California two-spot octopus)
Lineage: Eukaryota; Metazoa; Mollusca; Cephalopoda; Octopoda; Octopodidae
Source: RefSeq, a predicted model, not a curated record